CUCAGAGGAAGCAUUUCCUGAUUCGACUACUUACGUCUUAAAUACUGUGUCAACAGCUGGUGCUCAGCCUGCUCUCAAUAAAUAUUCUCCCUUUUCUGUGCCCGUAAACAGUGAUAUAAAAUGAUAUACAUUAAGCCCGGGUUCGGGCAAAGAUCUUAAGCUCUAAUGUAGAAUCUGAAGACUGAUGACUGGAGACACUACAGCAGGGGGCUGACAGGAGCCAGUUUCUUCAGUGUGUUUGAGGAGCAGACGAGAAACUUGUGCUGUGCUCUGAGUUGAUGAAGUAGUGUGUGUCGAGCUGAAGGAGAAGAUGGAGAACUGUCUGAUGCUGAUGUUUCUGUGUUAUAUGGUAAAACUCAUCACCUCUGACAGUGUGAGUGUGAGGUUGGUGAAUGGCAAUAAUCCCUGUGCUGGUCGAGUGGAGGUUUAUAAUGAUGGUCAGUGGGGAACAGUGUGUCAUCAUGGCUGGGAUAUGACUGAUGCUGCAGUGGUGUGUAGAGAGCUGGACUGUGGGACGGCUGUAAAAGCAACAUACGAUGCUCACUUUGGACAAGGAUCAGGACCAAUUUCAAUGGGUUUUGUACAAUGUAAUGGAUCAGAGACUACACUGAAAGACUGUAGUUCAAACAGCGAGUUUGCACAGUACUGUGAUCAUGAUGAAGAUGCUGGAGUCAUCUGUUCAGGUAAGCUGCUCCAAACCUCAGUCUGUUAUUUCAUCACUCUCUUUCAUAAAUCACACUCAAUCAAUAAUAAUGCAGGUGUUUACAAACAUCACUAUCAAUCUUAUGAAACAGGCAGUCUCUGUUUUAUUGUUUUGUUCAUAAUAAUAUAUUAAUCUUAAUUCCUUAUUAUCUUUCAUUAAACUAUGACGAAGAGAAUCACCAUUAAAUAUGUCAUGUAUUUUGUAUAUUCAGACAGUCUGAUCUGACAAUCUUAUUUAAAUUGUUUAUUUAAUGAAGAUUAUCAAAUUACAGAUGAAAGAUAAAAUUACAUAUCUACGGUGAGUGGGAGGGACAUGUUCGUAGUUUUGUCAUGUUCACGAGAUCUUUUUGUCGAGAUUAACGACAUUCUUAUGUUUACGAGUUUAAUGUAUAAACAACUCUGUGUGACCAUAGCAACCUGGGAUUAUGAGAAAUGGAUAAAACGAUGGUCUG
Long non-coding RNA from Carassius carassius (crucian carp), 1154 nucleotides. RefSeq lists it as uncharacterized. The record is from RefSeq and is a predicted model, not a curated record. The transcript has 3 exons. NCBI's taxonomy places the organism in Eukaryota, Metazoa, Chordata, Actinopteri, Cypriniformes, Cyprinidae.